AAAGUGAGCGAUUGAGUGAGGUUGGAGGUUGAGAGAGAUUCGUGGAGAGUUUGAGAGAAGUGAGUGAAGGUUAACGGUGAGGGAGGAGCGCGAGAUAGAGAGAGGAGAACGAUCCUGUCACCAUUCCAAAUUGUUUUUUUUCCUUUUUUUAUUUCGUUUUAAACAGAGUAAAUUUUGGAAAAAUCAUUUUUAGUUUGUUUAAACUUCCUAGGUUUUUAGUUAAUGUUAGUUAAUCAUAUUUCCUCCUUUCCAACUUAUUCCCC
This 263-nucleotide long non-coding RNA is filed under the name Lathyrus oleraceus (garden pea). RNAcentral's name for it is "Pisum sativum (pea) long non-coding RNA (PSAT_LNC041048)". The record is from RNAcentral. Lineage: Eukaryota; Viridiplantae; Streptophyta; Magnoliopsida; Fabales; Fabaceae.